UACGUACUAAGACUUAGACCAACAAGCUUUCAUUGUUGGAUACACAUAGAAGAUCUGUGAAAUACAUUAGUGAAGAGCUUAUUCAUUGUUUUAUAAAUUGUUAGUCGAAAGCAUCAUCGGAACAGUGCACAGAUGUUGAUUAGACCAAAGAAAUCAUUAUUAAUUCUUUCUUGAUGUAGUGUCUAAUCUCCCAUUAGAAAUUCUAAAUUCCAGUGCUAUAAUAGUUUUAGAUAUAGUGUCUACUCUCCCUUUAGAAAUGCUAAAUUCUACUGCUAUAAUAGUUUUACUUGCAUUUUUC
Molecule: long non-coding RNA, 298 nt
Filed under: Coffea arabica (coffee)
Lineage: Eukaryota; Viridiplantae; Streptophyta; Magnoliopsida; Gentianales; Rubiaceae
Description: long non-coding RNA (CARA_LNC004613)
Source: RNAcentral